CAUACCUGGAAGCACAAUAAAAUAGGAGGCUGAGCCCUAACACCAUGGAGCACUGUGACACUGCUGGACGCCCACCUCUGGACUUUCACAGAAGACAGAAAUGAACAACCUUGUGUAAGCCACUGUUGUUUCGGGUUUUCUGCCACUCAUGCACUGUAUGUCUUAGACUCUGCUUCUGGAAAGUCCCCUUGAACCCCCAAGACUGGGUAAGUGCCCCCACACUUUUUCCUUUCUUCACAUUUUCUACAUUUUUCUGUACUCACCCAUUCACUCCCCCUAGAUGGUAACUUCUUCAAGGAUAGGCAGACACUAAUUUGUACAUCAUUUUACACAGAUGCUAGAAACUCCUAAAGCAGUAACAAUGAUAACUUGUGGACAUGACAGAUGCAAUGAUUCCACCGAGGGCAUCAAGGGAAGAUGACAAACUGCUGCAUACUCUCUGCAUUAAUGGGUCAUUGCCAAGUCACCUUGGGUGGGGGUGGGGAGCCACGUGCCCUUCUAAAGAGCCAAAAAUAGAGAAUUAGGGGGAGGAGGGGAGAGGAAGGGACAGGAAACUCAAGUCAUCAAGGAGGUGGAUGUGAUUGGAAAAGGGUGCUCUCCCAAUUUGUAUCCUUCUAUUUUCCACACCUAGGCUCUUUUCAGCUUCCCCUGGCUCUAGCCCCACCCUCUUUCGUCCUGGUCUUCUAUUAGUGGCAUCUAUGUCCCCUUGCCUUGAUUAUACCCAACUACAUUCCUAUUUCACAGUGGCCCUGGUACAUGCAGAGAGAGAGGGAGAAAGAUGGCAGCUCUUUUUACUCUUCUCUCAUUCCUUUAUCCCACCAGCAUCCACUGCACCCCUGUACUGCUUAGACCUGUGGAUGCACCUCUCCCUAUUGCAAGCUAUCACCGUCCUUCAUGUGACCUUGAUCAGGAAAAAAAACUGUGAAAGUCUAAUUGUUUCCUCUCUACUGGUUGGAAAUGUGGUGACUUUGUGACGUAAGCAAAAGUAUCAAGAGGGAUCAAGAAAGGCUGCUUUAGGAGCUGAUUCAGUUGGGAGAAUCUCAUCCAAAUCUGUAUCUACUGGAUGGAAGAGGCUGAGGAGCAGAGUGGGAGGACCAAAGAAAAGUAAAAUAGAGGCACAGAAAUGAAAGGCAGUGGCCAUUGCUGCUUGUCAUAAAUAUUCUAUAUAGGACAUGCUUCCCUCUCUCUUCCCCAUGAUCCACCCACAGAUUUGCCAUUACCAUGGAAGUUACCCUGGCCACUGGAAUGUGAGCAGAGGUGAUGGGUCACUAGCAGGUGGAAGCCUUUAAGAACUAGAGUCCAAUUUGCCACACAUCCCCUUUCCCUGCAUCCAUCAGCCUUUUUCUCUAAGUGACCGAUGAGCAGGGCCCCCAGCCAACCCAUGUUGGUUGUGAGUGAGCAAUAAACCUUAAUUGUUUGAAUCACUGA
Molecule: non-coding RNA, 1428 nt
Organism: Manis javanica (Malayan pangolin)
Lineage: Eukaryota; Metazoa; Chordata; Mammalia; Pholidota; Manidae
Source: RefSeq, a predicted model, not a curated record